GCACAAGCGGAGGAGCAUGUUGGUUUAAUUCGAUGAUACGCGAGGAACCUUACCUGGGCUCGAACGUAAGAUGACUGUAGGUGAAAGCUUACAUCUCUUCGGAGCAUUUUACGAGGUGCUGCAUGGUUGUCGUCAGCUCGUGCCGUGAGGUGUCGGGUUAAGUCCCAUAACGAGCGCAACCCUACCUUUAGUUGCCAUCAGGUAAUGCUGGGGACUCUAAAGGAACUGCCUACGCAAGUAGUGAGGAAGGCGGGGAUGACGUCAAAUCAGCACGGCCCUUACGUCCAGGGCUACACACGUGCUACAAUGGCCGAUACAGAGGGCAGCUACCUGGUGACAGGAUGCAAAUCUCCAAAGUCGGUCUCAGUUCGGAUCGGAGUCUGCAACCCGACUCCGUGAAGUUGGAUUCGCUAGUAAUCGCGCAUCAGCCAUGGCGCGGUGAAUACGUUCCCGGGCCUU
This 459-nucleotide ribosomal RNA is filed under the name uncultured Sphingobacteriales bacterium. RNAcentral describes it as "bacterial SSU rRNA". It matches the Rfam family "Bacterial small subunit ribosomal RNA", at positions 923 to 1382 of the family's 1533-position model. Lineage: Bacteria; Pseudomonadati; Bacteroidota; Sphingobacteriia; Sphingobacteriales. The record is from RNAcentral.